RNAcentral lists this unclassified non-coding RNA (349 nucleotides) under soil metagenome. RNAcentral describes it as "partial contains 5.8S ribosomal RNA, internal transcribed spacer 2, and large subunit ribosomal RNA". The stretch from base 1 to 121 matches the Rfam family "5.8S ribosomal RNA", at positions 35 to 154 of the family's 154-position model. The record is from RNAcentral.
GAUGAAGAACGCAGCGAAUUGCGAUAAGUAAUGUGAAUUGCAGAUUUUCAGUGAAUCAUCGAAUCUUUGAACGCACAUUGCGCCCGCCAGUAUUCUGGCGGGCAUGCCUGUCUGAGCGUCAUUUCAACCCUCAUGCCCCUAGGGCGUGGUGUUGGGGAUCGGCCAAAGCCCGCGAGGGACGGCCGGCCCCUAAAUCUAGUGGCGGACCCGUCGUGGCCUCCUCUGCGAAGUAGUGAUAUUCCGCAUCGGAGAGCGAUGAGCCCCUGCCGUUAAACCCCCAACUUUCCAAGGUUGACCUCAGAUCAGGUAGGAAUACCCGCUGAACUUAAGCAUAUCAAUAAGCGGAGGA